This 495-nucleotide ribosomal RNA is filed under the name uncultured bacterium. Its description in RNAcentral is "partial 16S ribosomal RNA". It matches the Rfam family "Bacterial small subunit ribosomal RNA", at positions 28 to 507 of the family's 1533-position model. The record is from RNAcentral.
GACGAACGCUGGCGGCGUGCCUAAUACAUGCAAGUAGAACGCUGAAGGAGGAGCUUGCUUCUCUGGAUGAGUUGCGAACGGGUGAGAAACGCGUAGGUAACCUGCCUUGUAGCGGGGGAUAACUAUUGGAAACGAUAGCUAAUACCGCAUAAGAGUAGAUGUUUCAUGACAUUUUCUUAAAAGUUGCAAUUGCAUCACUUCCAUAUGGACCUGCGUUUUAUUAGCUUGUUGGUGUGGUAACGGCUCACCAAGGCGACGAUACAUAGCCGAACUGAGAGGGUGAACGGCCAAAAUGGGAAUGAGAAAAGGGAAAGAAGACUGAGGGAGGGAGCAGGAGGGAAAGUUCGGCAAAGGAGGGAAGACUGAACGAGAAAAGACGAGUGAGUGAAGAAGGUUUUAGGAUCGUAAAGCUCUGUUGUAAGAGAAGAAAGAGUGUGAGAGUGGAAAGUUCACACUGUGACGGUAUCUUACAAGAAAGAGACGGCUAACUACGUG